RNAcentral lists this long non-coding RNA (293 nucleotides) under Glycine max (soybean). RNAcentral describes it as "long non-coding RNA (GMAX_LNC003492)". The record is from RNAcentral. Lineage: Eukaryota; Viridiplantae; Streptophyta; Magnoliopsida; Fabales; Fabaceae.
AUCAAUGAAAGAAAGAGAACGGAAAAUCUUCAGACCAGAUAAAUUUUCAGCAAGGUAAGUGACUGCCGGCAAAGGAAAACCCAUUUUUGGUGUCUCUUCCCUUCAGAUUGCCAUUCAAGGUCGUUCUCGACUGGCGAUAUCCCACCCCACAUGAACAAAGAGGAAAAGACCGAAACACCCAACGUCCUCUCCAAAAACACUACCCUCAAGAAAAUCCUAUUGAUCCGUGAUCGUACGUGUGAUCUCUGAUUCGAUAGGAAAUCGUGUGCAAAAAGGUCAUGGUGCAGUUAUGG